UACGGGGAGAGCAAGCGUUGUUCGGAUUUACUGGGCGUAAAGGGCACGUAGGCGGCGUAACAAGUCACUUGUGAAAUCUCCGGGCUUAACUCGGAGCGGCCAAGUGAUACUGUUGUGCUAGAGUGCGGAAGGGGCUACUGGAAUUCUCGGUGUAGCGGUGAAAUGCGUAGAUAUCGAGAGGAACACCUGCGGCGAAGGCGGGUAGCUGGGCCGACACUGACGCUGAGGCGCGAAAGCCAGGGGAGCGAACGGG
RNAcentral lists this ribosomal RNA (253 nucleotides) under uncultured bacterium. RNAcentral's name for it is "partial 16S ribosomal RNA". It matches the Rfam family "Bacterial small subunit ribosomal RNA", at positions 524 to 776 of the family's 1533-position model. The record is from RNAcentral.